This 24-nucleotide small nuclear RNA is filed under the name Arabidopsis thaliana (thale cress). Its description in RNAcentral is "snRNA_05983". Lineage: Eukaryota; Viridiplantae; Streptophyta; Magnoliopsida; Brassicales; Brassicaceae. The record is from RNAcentral.
AGCUAAUUCUGUGUAGUAUCAAGU